UGGGGAAUAUUGGACAUUGGGCGCAAGCCUGAUCCAGCCAUGCCGCGUGUGUGAUGAAGGCCUUUUGGUUGUCAAGCACUUUAAGCGAGGUGGCGGCUACUUGGAUUAAUACUCUAGGAUAGUGGACGUUACUCGCAGAAUAAGCACCGGCUAACUCUGCGCCAGCAGCCGCGGUAAUACAGAGGGUGCGAGCGUUAAUCGGCUUUACUGUGCGUAAAGCGUGCGUAGCCGGCUUCUUAAGUCGGAUGUGAAAUCCCUGAGCUUAACUUAGGAAUUGCAUUCGAUACUGGGAAGCUAGAGUAUGGGAGAGGAUGGUAGAAUUCCAGGUGUAGCGGUGAAAGGCGUAGAGAUCUGGAGGAAUACCGAUGGCGAAGGCAGCCAUCUGGCCUAAUACUGACGCUGAGGUACGAAAGCAUGGGGAGCAAACAGG
This 430-nucleotide ribosomal RNA is filed under the name bacterium. RNAcentral describes it as "partial 16S ribosomal RNA". It matches the Rfam family "Bacterial small subunit ribosomal RNA", at positions 355 to 776 of the family's 1533-position model. The record is from RNAcentral.